RNAcentral lists this long non-coding RNA (1226 nucleotides) under Equus asinus (donkey). Its description in RNAcentral is "lncRNA (ENSEASG00005037800.1)". The record is from RNAcentral. Lineage: Eukaryota; Metazoa; Chordata; Mammalia; Perissodactyla; Equidae.
CAGUCACCCACACUCUAGACACAGCCUCCUAUUGAGCUCACUUGAGUGGAGACACUCAAGAGAGCAGGAUGCUCUGCUGUUGUCUCCCGACUUGUCGAGGCUGUGGCUUCAGGAAAGCCAAGAAACAGAGCCUUUUCAGUUGCUACACACAUUGGCUUGGCCCUCACCUGCACCGCCUCUGGCCAUUUGGCAGGAGGAGCCCUCAGAGCUGCACGCAGGAGGUGGUGGAAGAGCUGGCGGAUGGCUUCGGGUACUCCAUCUCCCUGGACAGGGACCAGCUGCACCGCACCAUCAUCAAUAACCAGGGCUGCUCUGAGAGUGAAGAUGAGUCCACUCUGUCUGUAACUGAGGCCUGCAGGAUGCGUGCCCUCCAGGCAGGCAUGAUGCAGAGGCUCUCAGAGUCUGUGCUGCCAGCCUUCCCCAGCAGAGUCCUCUGCAGUGUCAUCACCUCCCUCUGCAGCUCCUCAGGCUCCAGCACAGGCCACCAGGUCCUGGACAAGCUGUUUCCCAGAAAGUAGUCUUCCUCUCCCUUCACUGGCUUGUGGCUUUUUGAGUUUGGAAAUGCACCUGGAGAGCACCCUGUCAAGGAGUUUGAGAUGCCAUCCAGCUGGACCAGGUCCCAUCUACCCUCCAUCCCGGGCGAUGCCCUCAUCCCCUUUGGGACACAUGGAGGCAGCUUGGCCCAUUGCAUGCAGGAUGCUGGCGGACAGGACCACCUCCCAAAGACUGGACUCAAAGAGAGCUGUGCAUGGGUCCCAGGCCCCUUGAGAAUUGGAAGGGAGGCUGGGCUGCGUUGUCCCCUAGAGACCCACUCCCAGCAGAGUCCCAGCUCCUCCUGCCUCCCUUUCUCCACAUCCACACCUUGUGAGCACCACCGCCAGGUCCAUAGUAGGAGGUGUGUGAGCAAGCUGCUCCCAAAUCUGCUGGAGUCUUCAUUCCAGUGGCCCAUUUGCAUGCAGGGCUUGGGUGGGCUGUGUCCAGAUCCUUGGGGAGGAGAGUAUCGGUGGGAACAAGAGACUCUCUCAGACUCUGUGUGUUCAGCCUGCUGGAUGAGCAGGCCUGCCACAGCCAGGACAGCCAGCCAGGGCUCAGGGCUGGGAUGGGGCCCUCCUAGGGAGGGGGAGGGUCUGGCACAGGGGCGCAGAUGCUAACAAGAGUGCCUUGGGAGGGCGGUGUUUAAGGAAAGGCCAGGCCACUGACUCUCUGGCCCAUCUGCCUCCCCGCAG